UACGUAGGGGGCGAGCGUUGUCCGGAGUUACUGGGCGUAAAGCGCACGCAGGCGGUGCUGCGCGUUUGGGGUUACAGCUCCCGGCUCAACCGGGAGAGCGCCUCGAAGACGGCAGCACUUGAGGGCCAGAGAGGGACACGGAAUUCCGGGUGGAGUGGUGAAAUGCGUAGAGAUCCGGAGGAACACCGAAGGCGAAGGCAGUGUCCUGGCUGGUGACUGACGCUGAGGUGCGAAAGCUAGGGGAGCGAACGGG
RNAcentral lists this ribosomal RNA (253 nucleotides) under uncultured bacterium. RNAcentral's name for it is "partial 16S ribosomal RNA". It matches the Rfam family "Bacterial small subunit ribosomal RNA", at positions 524 to 776 of the family's 1533-position model. The record is from RNAcentral.